RNAcentral lists this transfer RNA (73 nucleotides) under Pteropus alecto (black flying fox). It matches the Rfam family "tRNA". From Rfam's summary of the family: Transfer RNA (tRNA) molecules are approximately 80 nucleotides in length. Their secondary structure includes four short double-helical elements and three loops (D, anti-codon, and T loops). Lineage: Eukaryota; Metazoa; Chordata; Mammalia; Chiroptera; Pteropodidae. The record is from Rfam by way of RNAcentral. RNAcentral also lists the same sequence under 1 other name.
GGCUCCAUAGUGUAGUGGUUAGUAUGUCUGCUUUGCACGCAGAGGUCCAUGGUUCACGCCCCAGGUGGAGCCA